GCACAAGCGGUGGAUGAUGUGGUUAAUUCGAUGCAACGCGAAAACCUUACCACCUUUGACAUGUACGGAAGCCUUAGAGAUAGAGGCGUGCUCGAAAGAGAGCCGUAACACAGGUGCUGCAUGGCUGUCGUCAGCUCGUGUCGUGAGAUGUUGGGUUAAGUCCCGCAACGAGCGCAACCCUUGUCAUUAGUUGCUACAUUCAGUUGGGCACUCUAAUGAGACUGCCGGUGACAAGCCGGAGGAAGGUGGGGAUGACGUCAAGUCCUCAUGGCCCUUAUAGGUGGGGCUACACACGUCAUACAAUGGCUGGUACAAAGGGUUGCCAACCCGCGAGGGGGAGCUAAUCCCAUAAAGCCAGUCGUAGUCCGGAUCGUAGUCUGCAACUCGACUACGUGAAGUCGGAAUCGCUAGUAAUCGUGGAUCAGAAUGUCACGGUGAAUACGUUCCCGGGUCUU
Molecule: ribosomal RNA, 455 nt
Filed under: uncultured Rhodoferax sp.
Lineage: Bacteria; Pseudomonadati; Pseudomonadota; Betaproteobacteria; Burkholderiales; Comamonadaceae
Description: bacterial SSU rRNA
Rfam family: Bacterial small subunit ribosomal RNA
Source: RNAcentral